CUACAAGUCAUAUAGUCUGAGUGAAGAAAGGUGUCAGGUGAAGGCACAGACAUUAAUUAAAGCGAAUUAUAGAAAAAAAAAACAAUUAAUGCAACUGAAAGGCUGCGAAUAAACAGGACUGUUGAAGUUAAACCAGAGUAAAACUGUCCUGAACUUAGCUAACUAAUUUUAGCCGCGCCACAGGAGAGUUAGCUAGUUUUCCACCGUUGCUAAUGAUAUUAGUUAUGGUGUUUUUAGCGGAGACUAGCUAGCUAGCAGGCAUGAAAGGUGGAGACAAGUGCCCUGGGGGAUUAUAUGACAUGGAUAUGACCACCUCGCCUCCCCUGAGAUGGAGUCUUGUUGGUGGUGGCGGCUAUGGCUGUAUGUUCUGCUGAUUUACAUCUGCUGCUAAAUCAGCAAUUGGACUGCUACAGAAGAUUGUGAUGUGUUGUGAUGCACAGGGUCUAUGUGUGAAGCUCCAAAGGAGGGAUGCACUGACCUCUACGCCUGUCUCAAGGAGAACGUGGCUUACCUGGUGAAGACAGGAAGCUGGGACUGAAUGACCUGAACCCUGAUGAUGACAAGCAGCAGGGUGCUGAUGACGAGGACAAUGAGCUUCAGCAGAGUUUGCAGCACGGCAUAGGGGAAACCGUCUUUACCCUGCAGGACUUGCCGCAGUGUGUCUAACAGCAUGGGCAAG
Molecule: long non-coding RNA, 679 nt
Organism: Lates calcarifer (barramundi perch)
Lineage: Eukaryota; Metazoa; Chordata; Actinopteri; Centropomidae
Exons: 4
Source: RefSeq, a predicted model, not a curated record